Aedes aegypti (yellow fever mosquito) is the source of this 116-nucleotide non-coding RNA. Lineage: Eukaryota; Metazoa; Arthropoda; Insecta; Diptera; Culicidae. The record is from Rfam.
UGCCCAGCAACUCUCAUCCCUACCUCCUCGUGGUACUGGCCGGGGUACGAGUAACCUUAGGGAAGAUCGGGUAACCAACCCCGGUAGGAACUCUGGUUGUAUGCUGACAGGGAAGG